GGUAGGGUACCGAAGUGGUCAACCGGGGCAGACUGUAAAUCUGCUAGCUAUGCUUUCAGUGGUUCGAAUCCACUCCCUACCACCA
RNAcentral lists this transfer RNA (85 nucleotides) under Oligosphaera ethanolica. Its description in RNAcentral is "tRNA-Tyr". It matches the Rfam family "tRNA". Rfam says of the family: Transfer RNA (tRNA) molecules are approximately 80 nucleotides in length. Their secondary structure includes four short double-helical elements and three loops (D, anti-codon, and T loops). The record is from RNAcentral. Lineage: Bacteria; Pseudomonadati; Lentisphaerota; Oligosphaeria; Oligosphaerales; Oligosphaeraceae. RNAcentral also lists the same sequence under 2 other names.